AUGAACGCUGGCGGCGUGCCUAAUACAUGCAAGUCGAGCGAACAGACGAGGAGCUUGCUCCUCUGACGUUAGCGGCGGACGGGUGAGUAACACGUGGAUAACCUACCUAUAAGACUGGGAUAACUUCGGGAAACCGGAGCUAAUACCGGAUAAUAUAUUGAACCGCAUGGUUCAAUAGUGAAAGACGGUUUUGCUGUCACUUAUAGAUGGAUCCGCGCCGCAUUAGCUAGUUGGUAAGGUAACGGCUUACCAAGGCCACGAUGCGUAGCCGACCUGAGAGGAUGAUCAGCCACACUGGAACUGAGACACGGUCCAGACUCCUACGGGAGGCAGCAGUAGGGAAUCUUCCACAAUGGGCGAAAGCUUGACGGAGCAACGCCGCGUGAGUGAUGAAGGUCUUCGGAUCGUAAAACUCUGUUAUUAGGGAGGAACAAAUGUGUAAGUAACUAUGCACGUCUUGACGGUACCUAAUCAGAAAGCCACGGCUAACUACGUG
RNAcentral lists this ribosomal RNA (496 nucleotides) under uncultured bacterium. Its description in RNAcentral is "partial 16S ribosomal RNA". It matches the Rfam family "Bacterial small subunit ribosomal RNA", at positions 29 to 507 of the family's 1533-position model. The record is from RNAcentral.